UACGGGGGGGGCAAGCGUUGUUCGGAAUUACUGGGCGUAAAGGGCUCGUAGGCGGCCAACUAAGUCGGAUGUGAAAUCCCCAGGCUUAACCUGGGAACUGCAUCCGAUACUGGAUGGCUUGAAUCCGGGAGAGGGAUGCAGAAUUCCAGGUGUAGCGGUGAAAUGCGUAGAUAUCUGGAGGAAUACCGGUGGCGAAGGCGGCAUCCUGGACCGGCAUUGACGCUGAGUGAGCGAAAGCCAGGGGAGCAAACGGG
Molecule: ribosomal RNA, 254 nt
Filed under: uncultured bacterium
Lineage: Bacteria
Description: partial 16S ribosomal RNA
Rfam family: Bacterial small subunit ribosomal RNA
Source: RNAcentral